CAACGUUGCCAACGACGGUUGUCAAGCGUCGUUUGUUAUUAGUUUUUCACUUCAGCCGCUUCAGUCACAGAAAAAAAAAACGAAAGUGAAGUAAACCGUUGGUGGUUUCGAGCAAGGAUUGGAAAUUGCGAAAAUGGACGAAGAACUGCAUCGAUCUUGAUGAAUAGUGGAUCAGUCUGUAGAAUGGAAAACAAUUUGGAUUGGGCAAAUGCGACUGCAAUGAACCAAGAAUUUCACCCCUGCGCGGGUUUUCACACAAUAGCCAAUAGGACCGGCGAAAUUGUUCUACUAUUGCACGAAGCGUAGUAAUUGAAGCUUCGUAAACGUUCUAUGACUGGCUGGCAGGGCCUAAUACUAAUUCUGUAACUUUGCGGAGAAUAAGGAUAUGCAGCUAUGCUUAGAACCCUUCACUGGCACUAGGAUAUUGAUCAUCUGCCUCUAAUCUGGGGAACAGACGUCAUUGUUAGCCGGUCCUCAGGCCUGCAAGAAGCAAACCCACUUCUUUCCUGUUAGGCUAAUGGACUUUCCCAAGACUUCUCGCAGUUUCCCCGGUGC
Molecule: long non-coding RNA, 555 nt
Organism: Aedes albopictus (Asian tiger mosquito)
Lineage: Eukaryota; Metazoa; Arthropoda; Insecta; Diptera; Culicidae
Exons: 3
Source: RefSeq, a predicted model, not a curated record